AAAAAGUCCCAUUUGACUCCCCUAACUAUUUCUCCUACCCUCUCUGUUAGUGGUUUAAAAUUCAUUAUCUUUCUCAUUCAUCCUACUCUUUUACAAACGUAUCUGAGCAGAAUUUUUUUUCUCUUAUCACAAGUCGUGUGNUAUAUAUGAUACACGUACAAAUGAAGACCCUUGAGCAAGGAACCCUCAUUUGAAUGAUUCACAAUCCAUAUCAUUGCUCAUACUGAAUAUUGAAACUUACAAAGUCUUUUUUUGGAAGAUUCAAGAAAGUAAAUUCCCCGUACAAGACUUUUAAGACUUUUUUCGUCUUUUUUAAUUGACAUAGACCCAAGUCAUAUAGUAAAAUG
RNAcentral lists this unclassified non-coding RNA (347 nucleotides) under Peganum harmala. RNAcentral's name for it is "partial trnL-trnF intergenic spacer". The record is from RNAcentral. Lineage: Eukaryota; Viridiplantae; Streptophyta; Magnoliopsida; Sapindales; Nitrariaceae.